This 633-nucleotide ribosomal RNA is filed under the name Aporrectodea rosea. RNAcentral describes it as "partial 16S ribosomal RNA". It matches the Rfam family "Bacterial large subunit ribosomal RNA", at positions 1833 to 2827 of the family's 2925-position model. The record is from RNAcentral. Lineage: Eukaryota; Metazoa; Annelida; Clitellata; Crassiclitellata; Lumbricidae.
UCUUGCACACAUAUAAGAAGUAAUUCCUGCCCAGUGAAUCACAUUUCAACGGCCGCGGUAUCCUAACCGUGCAAAGGUAGCAUAAUCACUUGCCCAUUAAUUGUGGGCUAGAAUGAAAGGACCAACGAAAUAAAAACUGUCUCUAUAAGCCUAAUAAAAAUUAAUCUCUAACUGAAGACUGUUAGAUAACAUUGAAGGACAAGAAGACCCUAUAGAGCUUUAUUUUAAUAAAAGCUAAUAUUUUAAUAAAAUUCGGUUGGGGCGACCGGGGAAAGAUAUUAAUCAUCCCCUAAAAAAAGAUUAAUUAAUCCCAUUUAUGACCCUUAAUUAAGAUCACCAGAAUAAGCUACCUUAGGGAUAACAGGCUAAUCUCACUAAAGAGUCCUUAUCAAUAGUGAGGAUUGGCACCUCGAUGUUGGCUUAGGGAAUCUAUAUGGCGCAAAAGUCGUAUAAAGAUGGUUUGUUCAACCAAUAAUACCCUACAUGAGCUGAGUUCAGACCGGCGUAAGCCAGGUUAGUUUCUAUCCUCAAUAAUAACAUCUAUUUAUAGUACGAAAGGACCUAAAUAAGAAUAAUAAUUAUAUUAUAAGAAUAAAUAUAACAUAUAUUAAAUAAGUUGAUACAUUCACUAUG